This 904-nucleotide long non-coding RNA is filed under the name Ananas comosus (pineapple). Its description in RNAcentral is "long non-coding RNA (ACOM_LNC019094)". The record is from RNAcentral. Lineage: Eukaryota; Viridiplantae; Streptophyta; Magnoliopsida; Poales; Bromeliaceae.
UUACACUUUUAUUUUUAUUUUUUUGAGAGAGAAAGGGUAGCACGCUACCUGCUUCAUUUAUUAAACAAAUAAAUUUAGCUACAUGGAGUGAGACAGCUAAGGCCUUGAGGACAGCGAAAAGUCAAGAAAAAGAGCAGACAAGAGCACAAAGACAAGUAAAAAGAGACAGAUGGUAAGAAAAAGAAUAUAAUAUUUGCCAAGGCCGUCCUGCUCAACAAAACUCAAUCCACUCCUUCGCCAAGAUUCCAAUACGUUGAGCUAUAUUGAUAGCAUUAGUAGAUAGAUUUAUGAAAAUAACGUUAUUUCUUUCGCAUCAGAUUGUCCACUAUAAGGUCGCCACCAAAAUUUGAGCUUUCAAAGAAUCGGGUUGCGAUCCCCUUCCCAGUAACCUAUCCCACACGGCAAUAACGACAUCCCAAGAAGAGAAGACAUGAAGGUUGUGGAGGAUAGGUAGCACGCUUGUCGAGGCAAUAACGACAUCGCAAGAAGAGAAGACAUGAAGCUUGUCGAGGCAAUAAUUUUAUUUUUUUAUUUUUUAUUAUUAUUAUUUUUUUGAGAGAUAGGUAGCACGCUAUCCGCUUCGUUUAUUUUAUUUAAAAAUAAACUUAGCUAGAAAUGUGAAUCAACUAGAAUUCGAACUUGGGACUUCGGAUACCAACCACCAAAUUCUUUGCCACUUGCUCUAAGGACGGUCGGUAUAUUUACACUUUUAUUAGUAGCAGUAAUGUAGUAUUACGUUGGUAUUCGAGACCCAAGUUUGAAUCCUAGUUGAUUCACAUUUCCAACUAAGUUUAUUUCUAAAUGAAAUAAACGAAAACGAAGCGGGUAACAUGCUACCUUUCUCUCAAAAAAAAAUAAAAAAAUGUAGUAUUAAUAUUUUCAUAUAUUUAUAAAUUUGUCCUAU